GGGUCAGUAGGUUGGUCGUGCCACCGGUACGUACUGGCCUCACUGAUUCCUCCUUCCUGAAGAACCGUAAUGCCACUAAUUUGGUGUUGCGGGGAAACAGGACUGUUACUUUGAAAAAAUUAGAGUGUUUAAAGCAAGCUAACGCUUGAAUACAUUAGCAUGGAAUAAUGAAAUAGGACGAUCGAUCCUAUUUUGUUGGUUUCUAGGAUUGACGUA
RNAcentral lists this ribosomal RNA (216 nucleotides) under Glomeromycotina sp. Its description in RNAcentral is "partial small subunit ribosomal RNA". The stretch from base 87 to 216 matches the Rfam family "Eukaryotic small subunit ribosomal RNA", at positions 733 to 864 of the family's 1831-position model. Lineage: Eukaryota; Fungi; Glomeromycota. The record is from RNAcentral.